Molecule: ribosomal RNA, 1430 nt
Filed under: metagenome
Description: SSU rRNA
Rfam family: Eukaryotic small subunit ribosomal RNA
Source: RNAcentral
ACCAUGGUUGUAACGGGUAACGGAGAAUUAGGGUUCGACUCCGGAGAGGGAGCCUGAGAAACGGCUACCACUUCUAAGGAAGGCAGCAGGCGCGCAAAUUACCCACUCUCGGCACGAGGAGGUAGUGACGAAAAAUAACGAGACGGUUCUCUUAUGAGUACCGUCAUCGGAAUGAGAACAAUCUAAAUCCUUUAACGAGGACCUAGCGGAGGGCAAGUCUGGUGCCAGCAGCCGCGGUAAUUCCAGCUCCGCCAGUGUAUAUCUAUGCUGCUGCGGUUAAAAAGCUCGUAGUUGGAUCUGCGUGCUUGAAGCCGGUCCGCCUUCUAGGCGAGUACUGGACUUCAGCACUGAAUCGUUGGUUUUCCUCUGAUGCCUUUAACCGGGUGUCAUGGGUGACUAACAUGUUUACUUUGAACAAAUUAGAGUGCUUAAAACAGGCGUUUAGCUUGAAUAUUCGUGCAUGGAAUAAUAGAAUAGGACCUUGGUUCUAUUUUGUUGGUUUUCGGAACACAAGGUAAUGAUUAAGAGGGACAGACGGGGGCAUUCAUAUUGCGACGUUAGAGGUGAAAUUCUUGGAUCGUCGCAAGAUGACCUACUGCGAAAGCAUUUGCCAAGAAUGUUUUCAUUAAUCAAGAACGAAAGUUAGAGGUUCGAAGGCGAUCAGAUACCGCCCUAGUUCUAACCGUAAACGAUGCCAACUAGCGAUCUACUGGUGUUAUUUUAGACCCAGUAGGGAGCUUCCCGGAAACGAAAGUGUUCCGGUUCCGGGGGAAGUAUGGUUGCAAAGCUGAAACUUAAAGGAAUUGACGGAAGGGCACCACCAGGAGUGGAGCCUGCGGCUUAAUUUGACCCAACACGGGAAAACUCACCCGGCCCGGACACCGUAAGGAUUGACAGAUUGAGAGCUCUUUCUUGAUUCGGUGGGUGGUGGUGCAUGGCCGUUCUUAGUUGGUGGAGUGAUUUGUCUGUUUAUUCCGAUAACGAACGAGACUCCAACCUACUAACUAGUGGGCAGAUCUUCGUGUCUGCAACACUUCUUAGAGGGACAAGCGUUGUUUAGCCGCAUGAGAAGGAGCAAUAACAGGUCUGUGAUGCCCUUAGAUGUCCGGGGCUGCACGCGCGCUACACUGAAGGAAUCAGCGUGCUAGAAAACCUUGUUUGACAUGGCUAGGUAACCCCUUGAAAAUCCUUCGUGAUUGGGAUCGGGACUUGCAAAUGUGUCCCUUGAACGAGGAAUUCCCAGUAAGUGCGGGUCAUAAGCUCGCGCUGAUUACGUCCCUGCCCUUUGUACACACCGCCCGUCGCUGCCCGGGGACUGAACCGUUUCGAGAAGACUGGGGAUCGCUGACUUAGGGCCUUCACGGGCUUUUUGUCGGUGAAAACCAUUUUAAUCGCAGCGGUUUGAACCGGGCAAAAGUCGUAACAAGGUU